RNAcentral lists this long non-coding RNA (5678 nucleotides) under Capsicum annuum. RNAcentral describes it as "long non-coding RNA (CANN_LNC005482)". Lineage: Eukaryota; Viridiplantae; Streptophyta; Magnoliopsida; Solanales; Solanaceae. The record is from RNAcentral.
UAAAAAUAUCUACUAAAAUACUGAAAUGUCUAAAGAUAGGUCCUCAAACCAUGAGGACUCACCACUGUGGAGAUGUAGAUAAAGGUACUCGGAAAUCACUGACGGAGCUGGGACUGAGCACCUGAACCUACAUUAUGAGGAAAUGUAGCACAUAAACGAGCAUGUGGAUCAGUACUUAAGAAUGUACUGAGUAUAUGGGGGUGUAUGCAAUUAAAUAAUAGGUAUCACAAAUCUUUAUAGAAAACAUGCAUUCCAUUAUAGAUGACUCACUUAUCUUGAAUAAAAUCAUCAUAAUCAUGGAUAAGGAAAACAUGUAAGGUAAAUCACGUGAGUCAUUACACUUUAUUCUCAAUCUGCAUUCUUUCUUUAUUCUCAAACUUGUAGAAUAGCGAAAAGUCUUAAAACAACAACUAUCAAAACAUACACUUUAAAUCUUAUGAAAACAAGGAACCUCUUUGGGACUUAAAGAUUAUAACACUUGAGAACCUUAGAAAUCUUAGCUUUUGAAAUACAUAAACUUUUACCUUAAAUAAAGUGGAGGGCUACUUUGGAAACUUGGGAGACUUUGGGAGUUUCUUCUAACCGACAUAAAUCAUGUGAGCUUACAUGGAAUCCAACGUCUUGCCCACGUUGGGGAGAGCUGUUCUAUCCUUGCCAUCGGAAUAGAACUUUUAACUUUUAGUGAUCACUAGCUUAACCCACUUGGGGUAAAUCAGAAACCUACAGGGGCACGUAGUUCUGGGGCAUGAGACCUUGGAAUCAAGCCCAACUCGGUGCUAAAUACUACUCCCUUACUUAAGCUCAGAACUUUUAAGAAAAUUCACCUUAAACAACUCAAAAGUAUGUAAUGGAAGCCAAUUAUUCUUUCCUUCAACUUAAAUCAAAGUGGUGUGGAUUUCUUUCUUGGCCUAGGAUCAAAAAUCAAUUCUUUUCUUGAAAUCUUGAUAGACUUAUCAUCAAUAAACUUUAAAAACUCAAUAACAUGGAGAUAUAAGUACACUUCUUGAAACACUUUAGAGGAUAGCAAUAAUUCAUUCUUAAGGAAUCACAAUUUCACAAUAAGUUUCAAUUCAUGACAAAAAUCUUGGGAAUUCUUGAAAAUAGGAUAUCAAUAUAGGAAUGUGCAAUUUAUCACAUGAAUUAUCAAUUCAAAUCAUACUUGACCAAGAAAAUCAUACAAUUCAAGGCUUGAACGAGUUAUAAUAUUAUAAAUUUGAAAUAUAGCAAACUAAACAUGAAUUCAUCUUGAAAAUACGAAAUUCUUUAAGAAAACUAAAACUUUUGGGCACAAGAACAAAAGAAGUGUUCUUAUUCAAACCCCACAUACCUUGAAAUUGAAGUUCUAAGUGAACUUUAGCUUUUGGGACUCUAUUCUUGGAAUUGAAGGGUGCUUUUUGUAGCUCUCGGAAAGGAGAUUCCAAAUCUUGAAGAAUUUUCGAGAAGCUACGACUGAAUUUAGAGUUCUCUUGAAUUCUUUGUAGAAACCCUAAGCUAUGUUCUUGGUGAUUUUUGAUGUAAGUGAAGGUAUUUUGGUGUUUUAGGGAUUAAAUCCCGUAUUAGAGUUGACAAAGGAAUGGAAGAUACCAAGAUUACCCUUAAUGAAACGGAUAAGAAGCUGAAAAUUUGUACCAGACGGACUUAGCAAGGCGCCGCCCUACCUAGUCCACCGGACUUAGUAGGGCGCCGCGUCGCCUAGUCCGCCGGACUAAGCAAGACGUCGCCUCGCCUACUCCACCGCCAUAUCCACGGCGACGCGGGCCUAUCGCCUUUAGCUAUUGUUUUACCAACCCAAACACGACCUUAAGCUCAUUUAAAAAUUUCGAAACUCACCCGAGAUGUACUCUUAAUUUGCUCGAUCGCACAAUAAAAAAAUCAAGAAACGAAGGUCAGGAAGGUCGCGGAAUAAUUCAACAAAGUUCGAAGGUUGAAAAAUAAACUAAGUGUUGAACACUUAACUAAAAUUCUAAGUGUUAAGCUUCUUUUGACUCAGUUUGAAGGCUUUAACGACGAGGAAACUUUGCGGGAUCUUACAGGAUUGUAUCAUCAAAUAUAGCUCCUCUUGUGUGUCAUACUAUCAUCCAAACACAUACUUUCUUUCAUAGGAUGAUCAAGUCUUGGAUCUUUAGGUGUCUUCCUUGAAGUGUAGAUCUCAAAAUAUUAGAUCAAAUUUGGCAUGUAUCAUCCUCCCAUUCUUGCAAAAGAUUCAACCUUGAAUCCAAAUCUUUUAUCGACUUGUCAUCACACUUUUCAAGUUUGGAAUCCUCGAGUAAGAACUCUGUUAGGCCUUUAAACUUAUUUUCAUAAGACACUCUUAUUGCAUCCUCAUUUAGACAUAUUUGGUCUUGAACCUGCACAAGAAAAGAGUGAUCCUAGGUAAAAUUCUAUUGUCGUGGUUAGUGGCUAAUAAAGGCCUAAUGUUGGAAGUGUCUUUACUAAAUUGGUUUGGUGUGGUCGAACAAGAGUUUGUGGAACUUGUUUUAUAUUUGGUAGUCUUGAGGGAGUUUGGGCAUGGGGUCGAGGUUUAAAAUAAGAGGCUUUUAAAUGGUUCCAAUAUUUUCUUCUAAUCCAUACUUUCCAUUCUACCAUUCAUGCUGGACAACUUAUCAUUUAUGUGUGACAAUCUUCCAGUCAUUUGCUUCACACCUUGUCGUAUUUCUAGGAAUGCCUCUAAGAUGAUAUCAAGGGUUGCUCCACCCAUUGUCUUUAGUACACUUGAUUGAAGGGAUGAAGAAAAUACAUAUGACUAGAUUAAGAAUAAAAAGACUUGACUCAAAGAAGUUAUCUAAGAAACAAAUGACAAAAGCACACAAAGAAAAGGACAAGAAAGAAAAUAGGCUCAAGAACUAAUUACCCAACUAAGUAGAUCAAAUACUAGUUGUUAAUUAGUUAGGAAUAAAGAAAUGACUUUAGGAAUAAAGAAUUGGAACUAAGAAAUUAAAACCUGAGCAAAACUGAAACAAGGAUUGUUGAGAUGCACUUUACUGAGAUGUACAAACAAAAACCAUAUAAAUACAAACAUAAAAAUAAUUAACUAAAGUGAGGGUUAUUUUUGUAAACAAACAAUAUAUUUUUACAAACAAUGCACUAUAUAUUAUUUUUAGUACCACAAAUCAAAUAACCACUAAAAAAUAAUACAAGCAUAACUUACCCUGGCACAAUUAAUUUCAGCAUAACUUAUCCCAACAUAACUAAUUCCGGUAUAACUUAUUUUCAAACCAAACGAGCCGUUAUUGUAAUGCAUUAUCGCCAAAGUGUAUGCCCAUUUUGUUAGGGACCAUUUAACUAAGUUAUUAAAGCAUCUAGUGUUGAAUAUCACUUUAAAAGUUAAAAUCAAUUAUUAAUGAUAUUUAUAUGUUUUUAUUUUUAGUGUUAAAGUUGAAUAACUUGUUUUGCGAAAAGUGAUAAUAAACACAUUUUUAAGUGGCCAAGAUGCCAUCAAAGUUGUUUGUAAAAAUGAAUUACUCAAUUUAGAAGAAUCUUAUAUCUUGAGAAGAAAAUGACAAAAAAUGUCCCUUAUUUUUGGUAAUAGGCUUAAAAUAUUUCUUUAAAUAUUAUCUGAGCAUUUUGAUUUUCAAAAUUAGUCAAAUAUAAUACUUUUGGUCUCUGUCAUAAUUAUCGAACUCUAAAUGUUAAACUUAAUAAGAAUUGAGAAUUUCUUUGAAAACCAUAAGCACCAAAAAUUUCCAUCAGAAUUACUAAAUUGCAAUAUAAAAAGUUAAACCAAACCCAAAAGAAUGGACCAAAAAAAAUAUUUUUGUACCUUAAAACUUGCACUAAACUCUUAAAAUAGAUAAAAAGUAAUAUAAACUGUUAUACUUUCAAAUGUGAGUUUUUGUUAAAUAUUUUUUUUAUUUUCAUAUUUUCGAUAAAUUUAACUAUAAGUAUUCGAUAAAUAUCCGACGAAGAUCAAAAUUAUUCACUUUUAACAAGUUUAAAAAUAAAAAUUGCUCGAGCAGUUCGUGAGAGACUAUUUUAAACCUAUAACAGAUACUAUUUUUGUCGUUUUCUCCAAUCUUGGUAUAAAAAGGGAUGAAAGAUUAAAAUGAAACAUAAUGAGAGAUAUUAGGAAUUUUGUUAUGUGGAAUGUCUUUUAAAAAUUAAAAGGUUUUAUUUUAUUUUAUUUUUUUAUGAAAUGUGUCAUAACUCCUGGCUUUUACAUUUUGUCCUAAGCUACGACAGGACCACCACUUCAAUAAUGUGAAUAUACAUGCUUAAAUUCAAAUUUAUAAUUUCAUAUGUGAGUAAAUGUACAAUAAUGUGAAUAUACAUGCUUAAAUUCAAACAUAUAAUUCCAUAUGUGAGUAAAUGUACAAUAAUGUGAAUAUACAUGCCUAAAUUCAAACGUAUAAUUUCAUAUGUGAGUAUAUGUAGAAAGACCAAAUAAGAAUGGGAUGAUGUGAUAAUUAACUUGAAUAAUCCAAAUCGUUUGAUUUGCAGAUAAAUUUAUCUCCAAAUUAUAAUUCUGAGAUUGUAACUUUAAAAUUAAUUUAUUUAUCUUCUAAAACAUGAUAUAAAUUUAAUCAUAAGGUAUCUCAUCAUAUCUCAUCUUAUCCAUAAACCAAACGAUCUCUAACAGCUCCAUCAGUCCAAGUGUCUACAUUUUACUAGUCAUCAUCACAUUGAAGAUAUAUCUCCUUACACCUGGUUACUAUAGUACUUUCCUUGUUCUGGAGCUCACGUUUAAGAUUUCAGCCUUUAAAUUUAGAUAUUAAAUUUAUAAUUUUUUAAAUAAGAUUAAUUGUCUCCUUCUCAAUCUGUACGACUUAAUAUUGUGGAACCUACUUAUCCUUUUUUUCUAAUUAAAAACUUAAGAGGGUGUUUGAGCUCAUUUUUCUCCCUUUGUUAAUGGAUAAAGUUGAAAAAGUUUCUAUUUUUCCUCUUUAUAGUCAUAUUUACUUAGCACGUGAGACACAGUCUGUGUUUGGGACUCCAAAAAAUAUUUACGACAAAAUGUUUUUAAAUUUGUCCAUAUCGUUUGGUUGGUGAGAGCAAAAUAAAUCCACAAAAUGACUUUACUUAUGAAAAUAAGAAAAAUAAGUUGCACAAAUAAUAUUUUAAAUUUAUUGUCUCAUCCCCACCCAUCCAAAACCCCCAACCCCUGACCAUCCCAAUCCUGCCACCCCCAAACCUCCACUCCCAUCCCAUCCCGCCUCCAUAAUGAUUUGCUAGAUAACAUAUAACUGCUCGUAAGAUAAUAUUUUCUUGCUUAACCAAACACUAAAAAAAAAAAAAAAAAAAAGAGUAAAGACCUACUUAUUUUCCAAGAAAACUAGCACUUUCUAGGAAAUCAUUUUCCAUGGAAAUUUUCUUUCCUACUAAAUGCACGCAUAGUAAAAAAAAAAUCAUUGCUAUGAUAGUUGUGAUGUUGACAUUAAAAUAUGACACACUAUAGUUGUGAUGUUGACAUAAAAAUAUCACACACUUGCAAAUAUAUAAACAUGCUUAUUCUAGCCUCCCUCUAGCAAUCAACUGCACAUAUUCAUAAAACAACAACUACACAAGAAAAAUAUCAACAAAUUAAAAUGAUACCUAUAAUGAGCUCUGCUCCUCUAUCAACUGCUACACCAAUAUCUCUCCCCGUACGUAAAAUUCCAGGGAGCUACGGGUUUCCAUUAUUAGGGCCACUUUGGGAUCGAUUAGACUAUAACUGGUUCCAAAAGCUCCCAGAUUUCUUCAGC